GGGCGUGUAACUCAGUGGUAGAGUGCUCGCUUCGCACCCGUCUGGGGUACCUGAAAUGCGAGAAGUCCAGGGUUCAACUCCCUGCUCGUCCA
This is a non-coding RNA of Hypoxylon sp. FL1857, 92 nucleotides long. The record is from the annotation of a GenBank genome assembly. Lineage: Eukaryota; Fungi; Ascomycota; Sordariomycetes; Xylariales; Hypoxylaceae.